GCUAAUGUUUAUGGCUCCAAAGCUGAAUUUCUCCACCCAUGAUGAUUUUGUAGAUGAUGGGAGGAGAUUGCUUAGUGAAAAGAAGUGAAAAAUAAUAUAUUGGCAUCCUCUCUUAUCCAGUAGAUUUUGGCACUCCCAACAUUAGGUUACCUGGAAGUGGGAAAACAAAAACUAAGCAGCAAAGAAAAUCAGCAUUGUGAGUUUUACUCUGCAGCAAAAAUAACGAUCUGUUCUUGAGGAAUUAAGUGCUUCACAAAGAUUCUGUUCAGUGAACACUAAGGACACUCACAGAACCAUCUGAGGUAUACUGAGUGGGUGUGGGGAUUGGAGAUGAAGGGAAAUUGAUAAAGAUUCGCAGUGGGCAAAGCUUCAGCCUCCAACUCAGGCAGCUUUGUUUUAUAGACUUAAGGGGUCCUGGGGGGAAAAAUUUUGAAUAUCACCUCAAGUUUUCUACAGGCCAAACCCAGAGGCUAAUGCAUAGCAGUUGCUUAAUAAA
Suricata suricatta (meerkat) is the source of this 496-nucleotide long non-coding RNA. RefSeq lists it as uncharacterized. The transcript has 3 exons. The record is from RefSeq and is a predicted model, not a curated record. NCBI's taxonomy places the organism in Eukaryota, Metazoa, Chordata, Mammalia, Carnivora, Herpestidae.